RNAcentral lists this small nuclear RNA (202 nucleotides) under Anolis carolinensis (green anole). RNAcentral describes it as "7SK RNA". It matches the Rfam family "7SK RNA", at positions 1 to 196 of the family's 331-position model. Rfam says of the family: 7SK was discovered as an abundant small nuclear RNA in the mid-70s but a possible function has only recently been suggested. Two independent studies have found that 7SK RNA binds the CDK9/cyclin T complex (known as elongation factor P-TEFb). The record is from Rfam by way of RNAcentral. Lineage: Eukaryota; Metazoa; Chordata; Lepidosauria; Squamata; Anolidae.
GAAUUUGAGGGCAAUCUGGCUGUGACAUCUGUCACCCCAUUGAUAACCAGGCUUGAUUCGGUUGAUCAAGCUGCAUAGGCAGAUCUGCCCUUCCUUCCUCACUUUUUGAUGUCUUGUCUAUCCCUCCUAAAGCAGUGCAUUUUGGUAAAAGAGGACAGCUAUGGCAGACAGGAGUACACCAUUUAUUGCUGAAGAAUAUCCU